GAAUUCCAAAAACAAAUCUUCCCCCUUGUGACAGCCUGGUCUCAUAGACUAGACGUAACAUAGUAAAAGUAAUUCCAGGGCUCUAAUCCGUAUGAUAUGUUACCUUGGGUAUGGUUACGGCAGGGUAGCCUAGUGGUUAGAGCGUUGGACUAGUAACCGGAAGUUCAAAUCCCCGAGCUGACAAGGUACAAAUCUGUCGUUCUGCCCCUGAACAGGCAGUUAACCCACUGUUCCUAGGCCGUCAUUGAAAAUAAGAAUUUGUUCUUAACUGACUUGCCUAGUUAAAUAAAGGUUAAAUAAAUAAAAUAAAAAACAUAAGACAGAAGGUUAUUAAGGCAAAACCCCAAAUGUUGCGUGUUCGAAUCUCAUCAUGGACAACUUUAGCAUUUUAGCCAAUUAGCAACAUUGCAACUACCUUUUAAUUGAACUCCUAAUCUUAACCCUAACCCCUAGCCUAUCUAAUGUUAUCCACCUAGCUAACAUUAGCUUUAGCCACCUAGCCAACGUUACCCACCUAGCUAACAUUAGCUUUAGCCACCUAGCCAAUGUUAGCCACCUAGCCAAUGUUAGCCACCUAGCCAACGUUAGCCACCUAGCCAAUGUUAGCCACCUAGCCAACGUUAGCCACAACAAAUUGGAAUUCGUAACAUAUCAUACAUUUCGAAAAUUCCAGCUGUGCUGGGUGGAGAUGAGAGUACAUGGCCAUUAAGUCCAGAUCGUUCUUCAAGAUGUUCAAACGUUCAUAGAUGACCAGCAGGGUCAAAUAAUAAUCACAGUGCAGAGUUAAAAAGUAAGAACAUAACAAAGGAAACGGUAACACAAUAAAAUAACUGUUCAUUGUUGUCAUGACUUUGAAUGCAUACUGCCAAUCAUCAAUGUUCAUUAUGUCAGAAGUACCUGAUCUCACUGAUUACAACUUGGGACAUUGGAGGUGGUGGUGGUGGUGGAGUUGUUGGAGGUGGUGGUGGUGGUGGAGUUGUUGGAGGUGGUGGUGGUGGUAGAGUUGUUGGAGAAGGUGGUGGUGGUAGAGUUGUUGGAGAAGGUGGUGGUGGUAGAGUUGUUGGAGAAGGUGGUGGUGGUAGAGUUGUUGGAGAAGGUGGUGGUGGUAGAGUUGUUGGAGAAGGUGGUGGUGGUAGAGUUGUUGGAGAAGGUGGUGGUGGUAGAGUUGUUGGAGAAGGUCGUGGUGGUAGAGUUGUUGGAGGAAGUGGUGGUGGUAGAGUUGUUGUUGUUGGAGGAGGAAGUGGUGGUGGUAGAGUUGUUGGAG
Oncorhynchus keta (chum salmon) is the source of this 1264-nucleotide long non-coding RNA. RefSeq lists it as uncharacterized. The record is from RefSeq and is a predicted model, not a curated record. The transcript is spliced from 4 exons. Lineage: Eukaryota; Metazoa; Chordata; Actinopteri; Salmoniformes; Salmonidae.